UGGGGAAUCUUGCACAAUGGGGGCAACCCUGAUGCAGCGACGCCGCGUGAGCGAUGAAGCCCUUCGGGGCGUAAAGCUCUUUCGACCGGAACGAUAAUGACGGUACCGGGAGAAGAAGCUGCGGCUAACUACGUGCCAGCAGCCGCGGUAAUACGUAGGCAGCAAGCGUUGUUCGGAGUUACUGGGCGUAAAGAGUGCGCAGGCGGUUUUCUAAGUUCGGUGUGAAAUCUCCCGGCUUAACUGGGAGGGUGCGCCGAAGACUGGGAAGCUGGAGUGUGGGAAAGGCAGGCGGAAUUCCAGGUGUAGCGGUGAAAUGCGUAGAUAUCAGGAGGAACACCGGCGGUGUAGACGGCUUGCUAGACCAUAACUGACGCUGAGGCACGAAAGCGUGGGUAGCAAACA
RNAcentral lists this ribosomal RNA (402 nucleotides) under uncultured bacterium. Its description in RNAcentral is "bacterial SSU rRNA". It matches the Rfam family "Bacterial small subunit ribosomal RNA", at positions 355 to 774 of the family's 1533-position model. The record is from RNAcentral.